GGUUAAGCGACUAAGCGUACACGGUGGAUGCCCUGGCAGUCAGAGGCGAUGAAGGACGUGCUAAUCUGCGAAAAGCGUCGGUAAGGUGAUAUGAACCGUUAUAACCGGCGAUGUCCGAAUGGGGAAACCCAGUGCAAUUCGUUGCACUAUCGUUAACUGAAUACAUAGGUUAACGAGGCGAACCGGGGGAACUGAAACAUCUAAGUACCCCGAGGAAAAGAAAUCAACCGAGAUUCCCCCAGUAGCGGCGAGCGAACGGGGAGCAGCCCAGAGUCUGAAUCAGCUUGUGUGUUAGUGGAACGGUCUGGAAAGUCCGACGGUACAGGGUGAUAGUCCCGUACACCAAAAUGCACAGGUUGUGAACUCGAAGAGUAGGGCGGGACACGUGGUAUCCUGUCUGAAUAUGGGGGGACCAUCCUCCAAGGCUAAAUACUCCUGACUGACCGAUAGUGAACCAGUACCGUGAGGGAAAGGCGAAAAGAACCCCGGCGAGGGGAGUGAAAAAGAACCUGAAACCGUGUACGUACAAGCAGUGGGAGCACCUUCGGGUGUGACUGCGUACCUUUUGUAUAAUGGGUCAGCGACUUAUAUUCUGUAGCAAGGUUAACCGUAUAGGGGAGCCGCAGGGAAACCGAGUCUUAACUGGGCGUUAAGUUGCAGGGUAUAGACCCGAAACCCGGUGAUCUAGCCAUGGGCAGGUUGAAGGUUGGGUAACACUAACUGGAGGACCGAACCGACUAAUGUUGAAAAAUUAGCGGAUGACUUGUGGCUGGGGGUGAAAGGCCAAUCAAACCGGGAGAUAGCUGGUUCUCCCCGAAAGCUAUUUAGGUAGCGCCUCGUGAACUCAUCUUCGGGGGUAGAGCACUGUUUCGGCUAGGGGGUCAUCCCGACUUACCAACCCGAUGCAAACUACGAAUACCGAAGAAUGUUAUCACGGGAGACACACGGCGGGUGCUAACGUCCGUCGUGAAGAGGGAAACAACCCAGACCGCCAGCUAAGGUCCCAAAGUCAUGGUUAAGUGGGAAACGAUGUGGGAAGGCACAGACAGCCAGGAUGUUGGCUUAGAAGCAGCCAUCAUUUAAAGAAAGCGUAAUAGCUCACUGGUCGAGUCGGCCUGCGCGGAAGAUGUAACGGGGCUAAACCAUGCACCGAAGCUGCGGCAGCGACACUAUGUGUUGUUGGGUAGGGGAGCGUUCUGUAAGCCUGCGAAGGUGUGCUGUGAGGCAUGCUGGAGGUAUCAGAAGUGCGAAUGCUGACAUAAGUAACGAUAAAGCGGGUGAAAAGCCCGCUCGCCGGAAGACCAAGGGUUCCUGUCCAACGUUAAUCGGGGCAGGGUGAGUCGACCCCUAAGGCGAGGCCGAAAGGCGUAGUCGAUGGGAAACAGGUUAAUAUUCCUGUACUUGGUGUUACUGCGAAGGGGGGACGGAGAAGGCUAUGUUAGCCGGGCGACGGUUGUCCCGGUUUAAGCAUGUAGGCUGGUUAUCCAGGCAAAUCCGGAUAAUCAAGGCUGAGGUGUGAUGACGAGGCACUACGGUGCUGAAGUAACAAAUGCCCUGCUUCCAGGAAAAGCCUCUAAGCAUCAGGUAACAUCAAAUCGUACCCCAAACCGACACAGGUGGUCAGGUAGAGAAUACCAAGGCGCUUGAGAGAACUCGGGUGAAGGAACUAGGCAAAAUGGUGCCGUAACUUCGGGAGAAGGCACGCUGGUGUGUAGGUGAAGUCCCUGCGGAUGGAGCUGAGACCAGUCGAAGAUACCAGCUGGCUGCAACUGUUUAUUAAAAACACAGCACUGUGCAAACACGAAAGUGGACGUAUACGGUGUGACGCCUGCCCGGUGCCGGAAGGUUAAUUGAUGGGGUUAUCCGUAAGGAGAAGCUCUUGAUCGAAGCCCCGGUAAACGGCGGCCGUAACUAUAACGGUCCUAAGGUAGCGAAAUUCCUUGUCGGGUAAGUUCCGACCUGCACGAAUGGCGUAAUGAUGGCCAGGCUGUCUCCACCCGAGACUCAGUGAAAUUGAACUCGCUGUGAAGAUGCAGUGUACCCGCGGCAAGACGGAAAGACCCCGUGAACCUUUACUAUAGCUUGACACUGAACAUUGAGCCUUGAUGUGUAGGAUAGGUGGGAGGCUUUGAAGCGUGGACGCCAGUCUGCGUGGAGCCAACCUUGAAAUACCACCCUUUAAUGUUUGAUGUUCUAACGUUGGCCCCUGACCGGGGUUGCGGACAGUGUCUGGUGGGUAGUUUGACUGGGGCGGUCUCCUCCCAAAGCGUAACGGAGGAGCACGAAGGUUAGCUAAUCCUGGUCGGACAUCAGGAGGUUAGUGCAAUGGCAUAAGCUAGCUUGACUGCGAGCGUGACGGCGCGAGCAGGUGCGAAAGCAGGUCAUAGUGAUCCGGUGGUUCUGAAUGGAAGGGCCAUCGCUCAACGGAUAAAAGGUACUCCGGGGAUAACAGGCUGAUACCGCCCAAGAGUUCAUAUCGACGGCGGUGUUUGGCACCUCGAUGUCGGCUCAUCACAUCCUGGGGCUGAAGUAGGUCCCAAGGGUAUGGCUGUUCGCCAUUUAAAGUGGUACGCGAGCUGGGUUUAGAACGUCGUGAGACAGUUCGGUCCCUAUCUGCCGUGGGCGCUGGAGAAUUGAGGGGGGGCUGCUCCUAGUACGAGAGGACCGGAGUGGACGCAUCACUGGUGUUCGGGUUGUCAUGCCAAUGGCACUGCCCGGUAGCUAAAUGCGGAAGAGAUAAGUGCUGAAAGCAUCUAAGCACGAAACUUGCCCCGAGAUGAGUUCUCCCUGAGACUAUAAGUCUCCUGAAGGAACGUUAAAGACGAUGACGUUGAUAGGCCGGGUGUGUAAGCGCAGCGAUGCGUUGAGCUAACCGGUACUAAUGAACCGUGAGGCUUAACCUU
RNAcentral lists this ribosomal RNA (2903 nucleotides) under Klebsiella pneumoniae. RNAcentral describes it as "23S ribosomal RNA". It matches the Rfam family "Bacterial large subunit ribosomal RNA". Lineage: Bacteria; Pseudomonadati; Pseudomonadota; Gammaproteobacteria; Enterobacterales; Enterobacteriaceae. The record is from RNAcentral.